ACGGGAGGCAGCAGUGGGGAAUAUUGGACAAUGGGGGAAACCCUGAUCCAGCGACGCCGCGUGAGUGAAGAAGUAUUUCGGUAUGUAAAGCUCUAUCAGCAGGGAAGAUAAUGACGGUACCUGACUAAGAAGCUCCGGCUAAAUACGUGCCAGCAGCCGCGGUAAUACGGAGGAUGCAGGCGUUAUCCGGAUUUAUUAGGUUUAAAGGGUGCGCAGGCGGGACAUUAAGUCGGUGGUGAAAUACCGUGGCCCAACCACGGGGCUGCCAUCGAUACUGAUGACCUUGAGUGCGUGUGACGUAGGCGGAAUGUGGAGUGUAGCGGUGAAAUGCUUAGAUAUUCCACAGAACACCGAUUGCGAAGGCAGCCUACGAAUGCGUAACUGACGCUCAUGCACGAAAGCGCUGGUAGCGAACAGGAUUAGAUACCCUGGUA
RNAcentral lists this ribosomal RNA (434 nucleotides) under uncultured Lachnospiraceae bacterium. RNAcentral describes it as "partial 16S ribosomal RNA". It matches the Rfam family "Bacterial small subunit ribosomal RNA", at positions 341 to 792 of the family's 1533-position model. The record is from RNAcentral. Lineage: Bacteria; Bacillati; Bacillota; Clostridia; Lachnospirales; Lachnospiraceae.